RNAcentral lists this ribosomal RNA (374 nucleotides) under Bacillus licheniformis. Its description in RNAcentral is "bacterial SSU rRNA". It matches the Rfam family "Bacterial small subunit ribosomal RNA", at positions 1 to 364 of the family's 1533-position model. The record is from RNAcentral. Lineage: Bacteria; Bacillati; Bacillota; Bacilli; Caryophanales; Bacillaceae.
UUCAUGGAGAGUUUGAUCCUGGCUCAGGACGAACGCUGGCGGCGUGCCUAAUACAUGCAAGUCGAGCGGACCGACGGGAGCUUGCUCCCUUAGGUCAGCGGCGGACGGGUGAGUAACACGUGGGUAACCUGCCUGUAAGACUGGGAUAACUCCGGGAAACCGGGGCUAAUACCGGAUGCUUGAUUGAACCGCAUGGUUCAAUCAUAAAAGGUGGCUUUUAGCUACCACUUACAGAUGGACCCGCGGCGCAUUAGCUAGUUGGUGAGGUAACGGCUCACCAAGGCGACGAUGCGUAGCCGACCUGAGAGGGUGAUCGGCCACACUGGGACUGAGACACGGACCAGACUCCUACGGGAGGCAGCAGUAGGGAAUCU